RNAcentral lists this ribosomal RNA (545 nucleotides) under Scincella modesta (modest ground skink). Its description in RNAcentral is "partial large subunit ribosomal RNA". It matches the Rfam family "Bacterial large subunit ribosomal RNA", at positions 1809 to 2608 of the family's 2925-position model. Lineage: Eukaryota; Metazoa; Chordata; Lepidosauria; Squamata; Scincidae. The record is from RNAcentral.
AAAAACAUAGCCUUUAGCAACACCAGUAUUAAAGGUCCUGCCUGCCCAGUGAAACUUGUUUUAACGGCCGCGGUAUUCUAACCGUGCAAAGGUAGCGUAAUCACUUGUCUUCCAAAUAAAGACCAGUAUGAAUGGCUAAAUGAGGAUAAACCUGUCUCCUACACCCCAUCAGUGAAACUGAUCUUCCAGUCCAAAAGCUGGAAUAUUAACACAAGACGAGAAGACCCUGUGGAGCUUAAAACUUACUAUUAACAAACUCAACAAGAGUAACUACUACUAGGUUUUGAGUUGGGGCGACUUCGGAACAAAACAAAACUUCCGAGCACAGGACCACCAUUCCAACCAAGGCUUACAAGCCGAAAUAUAUUUGACCCAGUCACACUGAUCAACGAACCAAGUUACCCCAGGGAUAACAGCGCCAUCUUCUUCAAGAGUCCAUAUCGACAAGAAGGUUUACGACCUCGAUGUUGGAUCAGGACACCCUAAUGGUGCAGCCGCUAUUAAAGGUUCGUUUGUUCAACGAUUAACAGUCCUACGUGAUCUGA